Cinara cedri is the source of this 888-nucleotide non-coding RNA. Lineage: Eukaryota; Metazoa; Arthropoda; Insecta; Hemiptera; Aphididae. The record is from the annotation of a GenBank genome assembly.
CAUCAAAAUACGCGCGUGUGCUGUCAUUUGGUGUGGGCGCAAGCUAUAUAAAUGAUAUACGAUACCUCGAAGUCGUAAUUGAUAGCACAGAUGGAGAUGUUGAAAGGAGGGUAGAACUAAAACACUCUAUGCGUACUUAUAUACCUGCACACCCACUCCGUAUCCAAAAGUAUAAUAUUAUUUACUGGCACCGGAAUCACGAUUUAAUAGUAUAAGAAUAUCGUUUUCAUCAUCGGGUUUCGAAAUAAAACUUUUAUGAAACGUUCGAGUGGAAAAAUCCAAUGACGAUAAACAAUAUUAUUAAAUUGUAAUUUUUCGUUGAUUAGCAUUAUAAAUAUUCUACACGUAUUAUAAAAGAUUUUCUAAAAUUUAAGUAACCUUGAGCACAGAUUUGUAAAACAUAAUAUAUUAGAUUCUGAUUGGAGUGAAGAUUAUGGUUUUACAAUGACGUUUCAUUUUUAUCUGUGAACAACUUUUCAACUAGAAAUUUUGCUCCAAUUUAAAACAAUGAUAGCACUUUUACUGAAAUGUGUACUUUAACGAGGUGAUUUUUUGAUUUGUUCAAUAUAUUAGAAUUAUCGGAAAAACUUAAUCAAAACUGGAAAAUUUGCGAAAUGUAGGCAGUAGAUAGUUAAUACAAAUUAUGGUAUUUUUAUUUCCUUAUGAAAAACUUUUCUACCAGCAAUUUGGCUCCGAUUUACGAUGAUAACGCUUUGAAAUGAAAUUUGAUUGGAGAGGUACUUUAGGGAGGUCAGUUUUGAAUUUAUCUGGAGUUAUCUCAAUAAAUAGAAAACAUUGAAAAACCAGUAGAAAGGGAAAAUUGAUGUAACCUUAGAAAAAUAUGAUUAAGAAAAAAGUAUUCAACAUAUGAAAUUAUUUUAUCAUAAA